GCCUCUUUUCUAAGAUUGUAGGGAAUUGAGUUUUAUAAGAUUUGGUGUAACUAUUUGACUUACCUGGAUAUAAGCUGAUCUGCUUUGGGCCCCAUAUAAUUGCAUGUGACACCAAAUGGGAAAAGAGGAUGAAUAUUCUCCUUCCCCUCCCUUGGCGUGAAACUCAGCAGAAUUUUGACACUGUGACAGAAUUUUGGCACUGUGACAGAAUUUUGACAUUGUGACAGAAUUUUGACAUUGUGAUGACGGAGUCCAGGCAGGUCACAGGUGCUGCACUUGAAUGGGGGAUAAUUGAUAAGUGUGAAUGAGAGGAGUAGCAGGAAGAGGAUGAUUUGCCAUUUUGCAAAAAGGCAUUAACUAGAGAAACUGGGACCAGAUUUACCCUUUUAUCUGGAACAACUGCAAACACUUAAAGGCAAACAGUAUGAAAACAACAGUUUAAGGCACAAGCCAUCCAACAAUGAAGGAUGAUGAAUCCUGAGAGACUGGAAAUGAAGGAUCUGAACUAUUUGAUUUCCCAAACUCACUGCCUUCAGAGUUUUCAGGCUGCAGCACAAAGAAGGGGGAACCCAGGCAGAGCCCAGUGGAUUCCCUGAGAGGAGUCACAGAGGGAUCCUAGUGAAGAGGAUUAUAACUUUGCCUGUUUUGUGAUGCGGAGGUGAUGUCAUGUUGUUCUACCAUUUUAUCAUUGUUCCUUCUGAGCCUGAGUGUUCUUUCUCUUGAAGAUUCAAGUGAACCAGGGAAGGAGAAUGACAUCAGACUGGGCUUGUGCCUGAUAAUUCAUUUCUGAAGUGCUUCAAGAUUGACGCAUCAGAUUUGCACAAUGUGCCACUUUAGGAGAUUAUUUCUUCCUUCCUUCAGCCAGACAGAAGACUGCAGUAGGGAUAUGGUUCCUGUUUGCCUAUUUCCAUCCACAACUCUGCCAGAGACGAAAGCAGUGUUUGAAACAAUUCACCAAGAUUUCCAUCUGGAAUCAUCAAGAAUGGAAUUGAUCAAAUUCCUUAAGAAAUUUACUUAAAGUCAUGAUUUUGACAGCCUAGUGCUACCUGGAAAAGGGACAGCAGCAGCCUGGAGCAGUUUUCUAGCUAACAAGAAUUUUGUUAGCUAUGUGGCCACCUAGUGGCUCUUCCAUGGAUGUCGCUGAUGCAUUGUCAGGGCAAUAACAGAGAAAUAGAGGCCACCAUCUGUGUGAAUACUUCACUGUGAUUAUCUCUCACCAUCAUCAAAUAGUUCAGAGCACUGAUCCUCACGAGUUGGACAUUUCCCCAUGAAACAGUAGCCUUCUGAGUUCUUGCAAGGAAAUCCAUUGACCCUGAACUGGUCCUUAGGACAGGCAGGCGAGUGGCCAGUGCACAUCUCAGGAAAAUCACAUUCAUCUUUCGCCGGUCUGCAUAUGGACCCUGCUUUUUUUAUCUGUUGAGGAAAAACAAAGAGACUAAAUCCUGGAUACAUUUAGGGUCAUACUGCUUCCCUGUACUGAAGUGUGAUGUGAGACUAUUCAACUGCUGAAGAUCUGAUUUUACCUUUUGCUCAAGCUGUCCAUUAUUUCAGGCUGACUUUUAUUUUUUAAUGUAUCAUUAAAUAACAUCAAAAUGGUAACUUAUGCCCUAUUUUCUCAAACAAAAUAAAAACUCAAAGAAAAUGGAGUGUGGCCGGAUAAGGUACCUCAUGUGUUAGAAUGAAUCUAUGGAACCAUUCCAAAGAAUGCAUAUGGACAGGAGGAUCAUUUUCCAAAAUUAAGAGCCUCUUUGCGUUUAACCUGAGACAUUUGAAGACAUUCUUAUAACCUUUGGACAGGUUACUGUCCCCAGUCU
This 1814-nucleotide long non-coding RNA is filed under the name Homo sapiens (human). Its description in RNAcentral is "HSALNT0345734". The record is from RNAcentral. Lineage: Eukaryota; Metazoa; Chordata; Mammalia; Primates; Hominidae.